Molecule: non-coding RNA, 532 nt
Organism: Prunus mume (Japanese apricot)
Lineage: Eukaryota; Viridiplantae; Streptophyta; Magnoliopsida; Rosales; Rosaceae
Source: RefSeq, a predicted model, not a curated record
CUCAAGUGGAAAGAGUACUGCGCCACCUCCAUUGAAACCCUAAGCUCAUCGAAACACGCCCACUGCUCUCCUCUUACAAGCCCCUGCCCCGACGUCGCCAAGCACAAGAAGCAUCAGCAAUCGGCACCCUUACCCCUGAAUUCGGUAGCCUACGGCGUCGUUUCCGCUCUGGACGGUGCUUCCUUGUCCUCUGGGGCUUCUGAGACCACUCAUCCGGCGAAGGAGUUGGUGCAGGAGAGAAAGAGGAAGAGGUCGCCGAGUUGCGGCGGUGGAGCCAAUUCUACUGCUUUGGCCUGCGUUUCGUACGAAGCGUGCUGACGUCACAGCAUUUUCGUCUUGGCGGGACUUUGACACGCGGUUGGUGCUCGCAGUGGUAGAUCUGUGAUAUUCGUAGAAGGCAAGGGGUGUUUCUGUACAUUCACUUCAGGCAGUGGUAGAUUUGUGUUUCGAAAGUAGUAUCGACGAAUUGAUAACGAUCUAAAUGUAUUGGUUUGAUGACUGGAAUACAAUGAAAUUGGGAUUUUUAUCUUCU